AGCCACCCAGGCAUCACUUUUAUUUUUUAUUUUUUUAAAAACAACUACAGCUCUUCUUUCAGAGCACUGGACAUGUGGUUAUAUAACCCUCAUCUGUCAUGCCCAGAGCAUUUUUUAUUCAAAAUAAAAUAAUGGGCAACUUCAGUGAUGUCUGGAUAGCUCCUUAACCCUCCAGGUUCUAAGUACAGCAUACCAUGAUCAUCCUUUACUUUCUUGCCCUAAGGAAAUGAAAAUCCGUAUUAACAGACAGAUCUCUGGUCUCUGAAUUUUUUGAGAUAACGAGGAACAUUACUUCUUUUAACCCACACCAUUUUUAUCAGAUCUUCGUCAGAUUAAUAUAUCCUCUGAUCGAUAAGAACAUCAGUAACUUAAAUAAAUCCACGCUACACUCAUUCAUUCACUCAGCAAACAUUUAUUGAGUUUCACCAGUUUGGGGUCCCGAGGUGAGCAAGACCAGUAUGGUCACUACCCUUAAGCAGUUUGUGAUUGAAUCAGGAAGAUCUGAGAAAGCCAGUGUCUGAAAAUUAAUGAGGUAGUGCUAUAGUGGGGAUUCAGGAAAUCUUGUGGAGCAGCCUCCCUGAACUGACCCCCAGGCUCAGAGAAGCUUCCCUAAGGAGCUCCUGGUUGGUCUGAAUCUUAAAGGCUGAGUAAAAGUCAGAGUACUCGUACUAUGAAAUCCAAGUAGAGCAAAUUUAAUCUGGCCAGAUGCUUCGUUUCUUCCAGUACACAUUUUCAGACUUGCAACAACCACCCAGAUACUAAUUGUUACCAUUGCCUCGCUGCACGAUGUCUUCAAAUAGUUCCAGAGUGAUCCACAAUGCCUGUGGCAGUCUCUCUGGUCCACUAUCACUGGAUGUUCAUCUCUUACUUCUAGCAAUUGAAGGAUACCAAAAACAAGCUUAUGUUUAAUUUAGAGAAGCUCUGAGUUUUGAAGAAGAGGAAACCGUAGCUCAUCUGCCGAUGUCAAGAACACGUCCACUUUGUUUGAAGGCUGGUUGAAAAAAAAAAAAUGGUGAUUUCUUCUUUGUGCCAGACACUUCACCAAAGACCAACAUUCCAUUCGGAUAACCUUUUAUUGUCAGUUUUUCAUGCUUCUUGGGGUAAAAGUCACACUGUAUGAUGCAAUGUGAUAAAACUAAAAAGGAACAAAGUA
Molecule: long non-coding RNA, 1153 nt
Organism: Mustela erminea (ermine)
Lineage: Eukaryota; Metazoa; Chordata; Mammalia; Carnivora; Mustelidae
Exons: 2
Source: RefSeq, a predicted model, not a curated record